GUUAGAUUUAAAAUUAUUAAGGGUUGUCCUUUUUUGAGCAGAAAAGAAAAGGUGAUUUCAGUGGAAGACACACUGUCCCUGGAGCUGAUGCUGCAGACACAAAACCAGGUUGCUUUGGGUGAUCCCACAGGCCACAUCCACAAAUUCUUGGUCCAGCCCUUCAAGUUGUUCAGUGUGAACAGCUCUGCUCCCACAAUAAGCUCCUGGAGGUUUAGGGUGGCUCCAGCCUUUUGGGGAGAGCGGAGGCUCUCCGGGCGUGUUCACAAGGGAAUAUUGACGUUUGGGACCAAGGGAUGGAAAACUGGGCUGUGAGCUGCUGGAGCUGUUAUCAAGGAUAUUUAUCCCAGCAACUUUCCCCUGCAGGACUUCUCAAGGUUGUCCUUCUUUUUCUCCAUUCCCACUGUUCCCUCUGCUCCACGAAGUUGCCUGGGGCCUGCCAAGGUGCCAGGCACAGAUCCAUCCCUCUGGAGUGCCCCAGCUGAGCAGGAAGAGUGGUGUGGAGGCAGCAGAUUCCUUUGGGAUCGCUGGGAUUUGGCUCAGCCCCGCGUGGCUGUGCCAGCCCAGCUGCACAGAGGCUGCAUCUGCAGGGAUCUCACAUCUGGGAUAACCUGGCUCAGGAAUCAGGCAGGUUGGAUUGUCCUGGCUCUAUUCCUUCCCAGGCACAGCCCUGACUCUUCCUGGCUUUGUGGGGAAGACAUUUCACCUUUCUUUGGGAGCCCUUUCCAUGGAGCCCAGCACAGAUCCAGCCCAUUUUGCCACGGAUCCUUUUUUCUUCCCAAGCUUGCUCCAGCUGUGAGCAGCUGCAGUGCUGGCUCUCAUCCCUCCAGCUGCCCUCCCCAAAGUCACAUCCCCUCACAGAUCCCAUUUCCCACCUGAUUGCCACAUUUAUCACACCUUUUUCUGCCAGAACCACAGGGGC
This 919-nucleotide long non-coding RNA is filed under the name Junco hyemalis (dark-eyed junco). Its description in RNAcentral is "lncRNA (ENSJHYG00000016954.1)". Lineage: Eukaryota; Metazoa; Chordata; Aves; Passeriformes; Passerellidae. The record is from RNAcentral.